Molecule: ribosomal RNA, 249 nt
Filed under: uncultured bacterium
Lineage: Bacteria
Description: partial 16S ribosomal RNA
Rfam family: Bacterial small subunit ribosomal RNA
Source: RNAcentral
UAGGUGGCAAGCGUUGUCCGGAUUUACUGGGCGUAAAGAGCGCGCAGGCGGUCGUUCAAGUCGCGUGUGAAAUCCCUCGGCUCAACUGAGGAACUGCCUUUGAAACUGCCUGGCUUGAGGCCGGGAGGGGGUAGCGGAAUUCCCAGUGUAGCGGUGAAAUGCGUAGAUAUUGGGAGGAACACCAGUGGCGAAGGCGGCUACCUGGACCGGUUCUGACGCUGAUGCGCGAAAGCGUGGGUAGCAAACAGG